CAAACUGUGGAGACUCUCCGGUUGGAGCCCAGAGGGGAAAAUGAUGACCUGAAGAAGAGAAAGGGAGCUGGCACAGACAGACAGGUGGACCUGAAGGGGUUGAAAGAACCUUCCAUUUCAUGAGGUAUUCUGAACCAACUCUGAAGACUUCUAAGCACUUAAUACCUCAGAGACAGAGCUAGAAACAUCUGCAGCUACUGUCCUGGACCAUGGUGCUGUUAUUCUCUUGAAUCAAUAAAAGGCCUGCCUUGAACUCA
This 257-nucleotide long non-coding RNA is filed under the name Mus spicilegus (steppe mouse). RNAcentral describes it as "lncRNA (ENSMSIG00000030820.1)". Lineage: Eukaryota; Metazoa; Chordata; Mammalia; Rodentia; Muridae. The record is from RNAcentral.